CGCAACCCUUGUCCUUAGUUACCAGCACGUUAUGGUGGGCACUCUAAGGAGACUGCCGGUGACAAACCGGAGGAAGGUGGGGAGUGACGUCAAGUCAUCAUGGCCCUUACGGCCUGGGCUACACACGUGCUACAAUGGUCGGUACAAAGGGUUGCCAAGCCGCGAGGUGGAGCUAAUCCCAUAAAACCGAAUCGUAGUCCGGAUCGCAGUCUGCAACUCGACUGCGUGAAGUCGGAAUCGCUAGUAAUCGUGAAUCAGAAUGUCACGGUGAAUACGUUCCCGGGCCUU
Molecule: ribosomal RNA, 288 nt
Filed under: uncultured Pseudomonas sp.
Lineage: Bacteria; Pseudomonadati; Pseudomonadota; Gammaproteobacteria; Pseudomonadales; Pseudomonadaceae
Description: partial 16S ribosomal RNA
Rfam family: Bacterial small subunit ribosomal RNA
Source: RNAcentral